RNAcentral lists this ribosomal RNA (497 nucleotides) under uncultured bacterium. Its description in RNAcentral is "partial 16S ribosomal RNA". It matches the Rfam family "Bacterial small subunit ribosomal RNA", at positions 28 to 507 of the family's 1533-position model. The record is from RNAcentral.
GAUGAACGCUGGCGGCGUGCCUAAUACAUGCAAGUCGAGCGAACAGACGAGGAGCUUGCUCCCCUGACGUUAGCGGCGGACGGGUGAGUAACACGUGGAAAACCUACCUAUAAGACUGGGAUAACUUCGGGAAACCGGAGCUAAUACCGGAUAAUAUAUUGAACCGCAUGGUUCAAUAGUGAAAGACGGUUUUGCUGUCACUUAUAGAUGGAUCCGCGCCGCAUUAGCUAGUUGGUAAGGUAACGGCUUACCAAGGCGACGAUGCGUAGCCGACCUGAGAGGGUGAUCGGCCACACUGGAACUGAGACACGGUCCAGACUCCUACGGGAGGCAGCAGUAGGGAAUCUUCCGCAAUGGGCGAAAGCCUGACGGAGCAACGCCGCGUGAGUGAUGAAGGUCUUCGGAUCGUAAAACUCUGUUAUUAGGGAAGAACAAAUGUGUAAGUAACUAUGCACGUCUUGACGGUACCUAAUCAGAAAGCCACGGCUAACUACGUG